UAGACUGAUGCUCGCUGGCUGGGGCGUUUAGCUGUUAACUAAGAAUUUAUAGGAUCGAGGCCUAUCUGUCUAG
This 73-nucleotide transfer RNA is filed under the name Odontobutis obscura. RNAcentral's name for it is "tRNA-Asn". The record is from RNAcentral. Lineage: Eukaryota; Metazoa; Chordata; Actinopteri; Gobiiformes; Odontobutidae.